GAGGGAUCCCGCGGCUGCCUGUCCGACACUGCUGGCCCGCCUGCGGGAGGGGCGCGGUGCCCGGUGGGAAACAACUUCCUGCUCCCCGGGCCCGGGGCGCAGGAGCUGCGGGGAAAAGUUCUAGGCCGCAGCUUUGCUGUCUGGGAGCCGGUUCCUCGUCGACCCUCUCCCGCAGUCGCGGCCAGCCUGGCUCCAGAGUCAGGACACGGGUCAGAAAGACCAGAAGGCCGCAGCUGCCUUAUCUGCCUGCUCCGCGGGGGAGCCCGAGUGGCUGCUGGCGCCUGGGGAGGCCAACCCGGGUCACUAUGCGCAGACCCCUUCCCCCUGUCCGGGCAUGCCCUCUCUCUCGGAGCCAGAUGGACCUGGCCGUCCCAGGAUGCCCGCCACAGGGGCCCGAGAAAAAUGAGGCCUCCUGGGCCCCAUCCCAGUGUCUCUCUGUGUCCCCCCCACCCCCAGCCGGCCUUGGCAUUCUAACCAGUGUCACUUGACGUCACAUCUCGCCAUUUCUGUCAACCAAUCGAAACUUGCCCGUUGUCAUAAAAAUAUAUAUACUUUUUAUGCCAUUGGUAAAUUCAAAA
This is a long non-coding RNA of Phacochoerus africanus (Common warthog), 578 nucleotides long. RefSeq lists it as uncharacterized. The record is from RefSeq and is a predicted model, not a curated record. The transcript is spliced from 2 exons. NCBI's taxonomy places the organism in Eukaryota, Metazoa, Chordata, Mammalia, Artiodactyla, Suidae.